Molecule: ribosomal RNA, 253 nt
Filed under: uncultured bacterium
Lineage: Bacteria
Description: partial 16S ribosomal RNA
Rfam family: Bacterial small subunit ribosomal RNA
Source: RNAcentral
UACGAAGGGGGCUAGCGUUGUUCGGAUUUACUGGGCGUAAAGCGCGUGUAGGCGGGUUUGUAAGUUGGGGGUGAAAGCCCAGAGCUCAACUCUGGAAUUGCCUUCAAGACUGCAAGCCUGGACCCAAGGAGAGGCAAGUGGAAUUGCGAGUGUAGAGGUGAAAUUCGUAGAUAUUCGCAGGAACACCAGUGGCGAAGGCGACUUGCUGGACUUGUGGUGACGCUGAGACGCGAAAGCGUGGGGAGCAAACAGG